CCCUUAGAUGUUCUGGGCCGCACGCGCGCUACACUGAGUGUCUGAGAUACGAGUCUGCCUGGUCCGGCAAGGUCUAGGUAAUCGCUAAAAGACACAUCAUGCUUGGGAUAGAUUAUUGCAAAUAUUAAUCUUGAACGAGGAAUUCCUAGUAAGCGCAAGUCAACAGCUUGCGUUGAUUACGUCCCUGCCCUUUGUACACACCGCCCGUCGCUACUACUGAUUGGAUGUUUAAGCGAGGUUCUCGAACUGCUAGCGACUUAGCUUCGGUGAGGUCGCAGUGUGGGAAGUGAACCUAGCUUUGGUGUCUAGAGGAAGUAAAAGUCGUAACA
RNAcentral lists this ribosomal RNA (329 nucleotides) under uncultured eukaryote. RNAcentral describes it as "partial 18S ribosomal RNA". It matches the Rfam family "Eukaryotic small subunit ribosomal RNA", at positions 1470 to 1796 of the family's 1831-position model. The record is from RNAcentral.